UAUGAGCUGUUUUAGCGGCGGACGGGUGAGUAACGCGUGAGCAACCUUUCCCAGACAGGGGAAUAACACACCGAAAGGUGUACUAAUACCGCAUAAGACCACGGGAUCACAUGGUUCUGGGGUAAAAGAUUUAUCGGUUUGGGGUGGGCUCGCGUCCGAUUAGGUAGUUGGUGAGGUAACGGCCCACCAAGCCGACGAUCGGUAGCCGACCUGAGAGGGUGAUCGGCCACAUUGGGACUGAGACACGGCCCAAACUCCUACGGGAGGCAGCAGUGGGGAAUAUUGGGCAAUGGGGGGAACCCUGACCCAGCAACGCCGCGUGGAGGAAGAAGGUUUUCGGAUCGUAAACUCCUGUCCUUGGAGACGAGUAGAAGACGGUAUCCAAGGAGGAAGCCCCGGCUAACUACGUGCCAGCAGCCGCGGUAAUACGUAGGGGGCAAGCGUUGUCCGGAAUAAUUGGGCGUAAAGGGCGCGUAGGCGGCUCGGUAAGUCUGGAGUGAAAGUCCUGCUUUUAAGGUGGGAAUUGCUUUGGAUACUGUCGGGCUUGAGUGCAGGAGAGGUUAGUGGAAUUCCCAGUGUAGCGGUGAAAUGCGUAGAGAUUGGGAGGAACACCAGUGGCGAAGGCGACUAACUGGACUGUAACUGACGCUGAGGCGCG
RNAcentral lists this ribosomal RNA (658 nucleotides) under uncultured bacterium. RNAcentral's name for it is "bacterial SSU rRNA". It matches the Rfam family "Bacterial small subunit ribosomal RNA", at positions 81 to 755 of the family's 1533-position model. The record is from RNAcentral.